This 244-nucleotide ribosomal RNA is filed under the name uncultured Staphylococcus sp. RNAcentral describes it as "partial 16S ribosomal RNA". It matches the Rfam family "Bacterial small subunit ribosomal RNA", at positions 96 to 334 of the family's 1533-position model. Lineage: Bacteria; Bacillati; Bacillota; Bacilli; Caryophanales; Staphylococcaceae. The record is from RNAcentral.
CGGCGGACGGGUGAGUAACACGUGGAUAACCUACCUAUAAGACUGGGAUAACUUCGGGAAACCGGAGCUAAUACCGGAUAAUAUUUUGAACCGCAUGGUUCAAAAGUAAAAGACGGUCUUGCUGUCACUUAUAGACGGAUCCGCGCUGCAUUAGCUAGUUGGUAAGGUAACGGCUUACCAAGGCAACGAUGCAUAGCCGACCUGAGAGGGUGAUCGGCCACACUGGAACUGAGACACGGUCCAG